RNAcentral lists this small nuclear RNA (177 nucleotides) under Neogobius melanostomus (round goby). RNAcentral's name for it is "U2 spliceosomal RNA (ENSNMLG00000002559.1)". It matches the Rfam family "U2 spliceosomal RNA". From Rfam's summary of the family: U2 is a small nuclear RNA (snRNA) component of the spliceosome (involved in pre-mRNA splicing). Complementary binding between U2 snRNA (in an area lying towards the 5' end but 3' to hairpin I) and the branchpoint sequence (BPS) of the intron results the bulging out of an unpaired adenosine, on the BPS, which initiates a nucleophilic attack at the intronic 5' splice site, thus starting the first of two transesterification reactions that mediate splicing. The record is from Rfam by way of RNAcentral. Lineage: Eukaryota; Metazoa; Chordata; Actinopteri; Gobiiformes; Gobiidae.
AUCGUUCUCGCCUUUUGGGGCUAAGAUCAAGUGUAGUAUCUGUUUCUUUAUCAGUUUAAUAUCGAUAACGUCCCUACCGGGGACCAUAUAUUAAAUUGUUUUGGAGCAGGGAGAAUGGAUUAGGCUGCUCCGUCAUCCCCAUCGACUGGGUUUGCAGUACUUCCUGGACGUGCAUCC